Molecule: ribosomal RNA, 497 nt
Filed under: uncultured bacterium
Lineage: Bacteria
Description: partial 16S ribosomal RNA
Rfam family: Bacterial small subunit ribosomal RNA
Source: RNAcentral
GAUGAACGCUGGCGGCGUGCCUAAUACAUGCAAGUCGAGCGAACAGAUGAGGAGCUUGCUCCUCUGACGUUAGCGGCGGACGGGUGAGUAACACGUGGAUAACCUACCUAUAAGACUGGGAUAACUUCGGGAAACCGGAGCUAAUACCGGAUAAUAUAUUGAACCGCAUGGUUCAAUAGUGAAAGACGGUUUUGCUGUCACUUAUAGAUGGAUCCGCGCCGCAUUAGCUAGUUGGUAAGGUAACGGCUUACCAAGGCAACGAUGCGUAGCCGACCUGAGAGGGUGAUCGGCCACACUGGAACUGAGACACGGUCCAGACUCCUACGGGAGGCAGCAGUAGGGAAUCUUCCGCAAUGGGCGAAAGCCUGACGGAGCAACGCCGCGUGAGUGAUGAAGGUCUUCGGAUCGUAAAACUCUGUUAUUAGGGAAGAACAAAUGUGUAAGUAACUAUGCACGUCUUGACGGUACCUAAUCAGAAAGCCACGUCUAACUACGUG